GUAUCAUCAUGUAUACAAAUCCAACCUACUGUGACCUUCCCCCCUUUUUCUUUUCACAGUUUAUCCUGCUCUGGGUUUGUGAGGUGGAACCUACCCCAGCAUGUGAAACUUUGGGUGACGGAUUAUGUAAACCCUGGAUGGUCACCAGUCAACCAAAAAUCAGUGGUGGGAAGUCAUGAAGUACUGGACACUGAAAAACAAUUUAUGGCAAUGUUUGGUUGCACAUGAUUCAAAUGAGACAAUCCUGAACAAGAAUGUGCGGCUUGUACAGCGUGCGUGUGAUUUGAACCCCGGUCCUCAGAAGUGUGAGGCCAACGCUCUACAGCUUCACGACUGUGCCUUGCGGGGAGUGCUGGAGUCUAUCCCAGCUGUCAAAAGGUUUUUUGUAAUGUGGGAGGAAACCGGAGUACCUGGAGAAAAUCCACGCAGCCACGGGGAGAACAUGCUAGCUCCAUACAGGCGGGGCCGGGAUCGAACCCGCAUCCUCAGAACUGUGAAGUCAACGCUUUACCAGCUGAUCACCGUGCUGCCGUAAUUUCAAACCAUUUACGUGAAUUUACAACUUAACUUAAGAGCUCUCAUGUCACACUAAUGUGGUACCGCGCAUUGGUUGAGAAUCACUCCCACUUGUGUUGUGAUAUUUGAUAUGACACUACUAGUCCCAUCUUUCUUUUAAAGAAAAAAAAGAACACU
This is a long non-coding RNA of Syngnathoides biaculeatus (alligator pipefish), 693 nucleotides long. RefSeq lists it as uncharacterized. Lineage: Eukaryota; Metazoa; Chordata; Actinopteri; Syngnathiformes; Syngnathidae. The transcript has 3 exons. The record is from RefSeq and is a predicted model, not a curated record.